AGGUAGCUGACGAGUCACAAAUAGGACGAAACGCGUGUCCUGGGU
Molecule: non-coding RNA, 45 nt
Organism: Schistosoma curassoni
Lineage: Eukaryota; Metazoa; Platyhelminthes; Trematoda; Strigeidida; Schistosomatidae
Source: Rfam